RNAcentral lists this ribosomal RNA (530 nucleotides) under Escherichia coli. RNAcentral's name for it is "partial 23S ribosomal RNA". It matches the Rfam family "Bacterial large subunit ribosomal RNA", at positions 1 to 561 of the family's 2925-position model. Lineage: Bacteria; Pseudomonadati; Pseudomonadota; Gammaproteobacteria; Enterobacterales; Enterobacteriaceae. The record is from RNAcentral.
GGGUUGUGAGGUUAAGCGACUAAGCGUACACGGUGGAUGCCCUGGCAGUCAGAGGCGAUGAAGGACGUGCUAAUCUGCGAUAAGCGUCGGUGAGGUGAUAUGAACCGUUAUAACCGGCGAUUUCCGAAUGGGGAAACCCAGUGUGUUUCGACACACUAUCAUUAACUGAAUCCAUAGGUUAAUGAGGCGAACCGGGGGAACUGAAACAUCUAAGUACCCCGAGGAAAAGAAAUCAACCGAGAUUCCCCCAGUAGCGGCGAGCGAACGGGGAGGAGCCCAGAGCCUGAAUCAGUGUGUGUGUUAGUGGAAGCGUCUGGAAAGGCGCGCGAUACAGGGUGACAGCCCCGUACACAAAAAUGCACAUACUGUGAGCUCGAUGAGUAGGGCGGGACACGUGGUAUCCUGUCUGAAUAUGGGGGGACCAUCCUCCAAGGCUAAAUACUCCUGACUGACCGAUAGUGAACCAGUACCGUGAGGGAAAGGCGAAAAGAACCCCGGCGAGGGGAGUGAAAAAGAACCUGAAACCGUGU